RNAcentral lists this ribosomal RNA (900 nucleotides) under Paraphaeosphaeria michotii. Its description in RNAcentral is "eukaryotic LSU rRNA". It matches the Rfam family "Eukaryotic large subunit ribosomal RNA", at positions 50 to 967 of the family's 3401-position model. Lineage: Eukaryota; Fungi; Ascomycota; Dothideomycetes; Pleosporales; Didymosphaeriaceae. The record is from RNAcentral.
GCGGAGGAAAAGAAACCAACAGGGAUUGCCCUAGUAACGGCGAGUGAAGCGGCAACAGCUCAAAUUUGAAAUCUGGCUCCCUUUGGGGGUCCGAGUUGUAAUUUGCAGAGGAUGCUUUGGCAUUGGCAGCGGUCUAAGUUCCUUGGAACAGGACAUCACAGAGGGUGAGAAUCCCGUACGUGGUCGCUUGCCUUUGCCGUGUAAAGCUCCUUCGACGAGUCGAGUUGUUUGGGAAUGCAGCUCUAAAUGGGAGGUAAAUUUCUUCUAAAGCUAAAUACUGGCCAGAGACCGAUAGCGCACAAGUAGAGUGAUCGAAAGAUGAAAAGUACUUUGGAAAGAGAGUCAAAAAGCACGUGAAAUUGUUGAAAGGGAAGCGCUUGCAGCCAGACUUGCCCGCAGUUGCUCACCUAGGCUUUCGCCUGGGGCACUCUUCUGCGGGCAGGCCAGCAUCAGUUUGGGCGGUUGGAUAAAGGCCUCUGUCACGUAUCUUCCUUCGGGAUGACCUUAUAGGGGAGGCGUAAUGCAACCAGCCCGGACUGAGGUCCGCGCAUCUGCUAGGAUGCUGGCGUAAUGGCUGUAAGCGGCCCGUCUUGAAACACGGACCAAGGAGUCUAACAUCUAUGCGAGUGUUUGGGUGUCAAGCCCGAGCGCGUAAUGAAAGUGAACGGAGGUGGGAACCUUUUAGGUGCACCAUCGACCGAUCCUGAUGUCUUCGGAUGGAUUUGAGUAAGAGCAUAGCUGUUGGGACCCGAAAGAUGGUAAACUAUGCUUGAAUAGGGUGAAGCCAGAGGAAACUCCGGUGGAGGCUCGCAGCGGUUCUGACGUGCAAAUCGAUCGUCAAAUUUGGGCAUAGGGGCGAAAGACUAAUCGAACCAUCUAGUAGCUGGUUCCUGCCGAAGU